CCUACGGGAGGCAGCAGUGAGGAAUAUUGGUCAAUGGGCGCAAGCCUGAACCAGCCAAGUAGCGUGAAGGAUGACGGCCCUACGGGUUGUAAACUGCUUUUAUGAGGGAAUAAAGUGAGGCACGUGUGCCGUUUUGUAGGUACUGUAUGAAUAAGGACCGGCUAACUCCGUGCCAGCAGCCGCGGUAAUACGGAGGGUCCGAGCGUUAUCCGGAUUUAUUGGGUUUAAAGGGAGCGUAGAUGGGUUGUUAAGUCAGUUGUGAAAGUUUGCGGCUCAACCGUAAAAGUGCAAUUGAUACUGGCAGCCUUGAGUACAGUGGAGGUAGGCGGAAUUCGUGGUGUAGCGGUGAAAUGCUUAGAUAUCACGAAGAACUCCGAUUGCGAAGGCAGCCUACGAAAGCGCUACUGACACUGAGGCUCGAAAGCGUGGGUAUCAAACAGGAUUAGAUACCCGAGUAGUC
Molecule: ribosomal RNA, 460 nt
Filed under: uncultured bacterium
Lineage: Bacteria
Description: partial 16S ribosomal RNA
Rfam family: Bacterial small subunit ribosomal RNA
Source: RNAcentral